This 43382-nucleotide long non-coding RNA is filed under the name Phoenix dactylifera (date palm). Its description in RNAcentral is "long non-coding RNA (PDAC_LNC001114)". The record is from RNAcentral. Lineage: Eukaryota; Viridiplantae; Streptophyta; Magnoliopsida; Arecales; Arecaceae.
UUUUUUUUUUUUUUGCCCUUCUUCUUUUUGACAUCAACACCAAAAAGCACACUGUUGAGUUUUUACAAUGUCAUUUUUUUUUAAGGUAAAAGGGAGGCUGAAAAAUGUGCCACCCAAGAGCGAUCGAAAUAUUACAAAAGAAUAGAACCUCUAGGUUAUAAGCGGAGCAAAUAGAAUAAAGAAGAAAAAUUUUUAAGACUUGUUUGGUCUGCAAUUUUUUUUAUUGAAAUUUUUUUUUUAAAAAAAAUGAUCUUUAGAAAUAUAAUAUCUGAAAAAUAGUUUUGGUAUUUUUGAUUGAUCAUGAGAAAAUAGCAAUUUUCAGUAUGACUUAUAUUUGGUUGAACAUCUAAUUCUCUGAAAAAAGUUGUAUGAAAUACUUAUUAUAUCCAUAAUAAAGAAAAAGAUGUUAUCCAUAAAUUUUGAUGGCUUAAAGGUAUUUUUGAAUCAAAAACCCAAAUUUCCAACUGUUGUGGAAAAGUAGCUUUUCCAUGUCUCUAUAUUUUUUUCAAAUAAAUAUGAUAAUCUCAAUCCAAUAAGAAUGCUAUUUUUUUUCUCACUCGAAAACUAGACGUUUUUUUUUCUUUUUCCGAUGACCAAACUUUCUCUCUUUCUCUUCCAAAUGAGGUAUAAAUGAGAAAGGAGCACUCUAUUCUGGCGGCCGUUGAAUUAAAGGUCAGCACACGGCAUCGGUUCAUUCGCUGUGACCCCGUCCGAUUUGAGCUACCGUCUUCUCCGCGGUCAAGGGGAAGAAAACUCGCUAGUUUCUGUCAUCCAGAUGAGAAUGGAAGACUGGCCUCUAUGACAGAUAUAGCCAAAAAACCACCCUCUUCGUCUUCCGGACGAUGACAUCAACAAUGACGCCUCCCGGACGUAGAGUGAAAGUAGACAAGAAAGGUCGUCGUCGGGAAACCUGGAGAGUUGGAAGAAACAGGAAGAGUCGAUUCAAUACCUUCGCUCUCACUGUCUCUCUCUCUCUCACACACACACACAAACACACAUCUAUAAAUAUAGGAGUGAUGCUGGUUAUCGGCUUGGUUGUUUAUUUUUAAUAUGGAGGUAACAAGUCACAGUGGACGUCUACCUCCCCCUCCUCUACAGCAUUUUUGUCAGCUCGAUCGCCUUCUCAUAUCCUUGACAAAUAUUUGUUAGCGUCGGCAAUUCUCUGGUAUGUUCUUAAAUCUUCCCACAUUUCCUCUUUCUUGUUUUAUGAGUCUUUUUCUCUUCCUCUUUGUGCUAUGUUUUGUUGUUUGUGGGUGCUGCCCAUUUAGCCGUAUGAUGACGAUGAUCAUAUAAUGGGGUGGUAUAUGGGCCAGGCCUGCAACUAGAUGGUGUGAGCUGCAUGAUUUGGGCCAGUAUAUAUAUGCACACCAUCUGUUUAAACUUGCAUGGUUCAUUGAAGAAUUUGUUUGGUUUGUGGGAAAAUUGUUUUCUUACUGAAAUAUUUUUUCUGAAAAGAUGAUUCUUGAGAAUUAAUAUGAUGUCUGAAAAAAUAAUUUUAGUAUGUUUGGUUAACCAUAAGAAAGUGGCACAACCCAGAGUGGCUUAUGUUUGGUUGGACAUUUACUUUCCUGAGAAAGUUGUAUGAAAUACCUAUUAUAGUAUAAAUACAAAGAUGUAUUAAGAAAACAUAAAUUUUGAAGAGUUAUAUAAGCCCCCAAUAAUUGUAACAAAUGGACUGAUGUGUUCUAAACUUAGAAAAAGUUAAUCAAUCAGCUCUAUGGUUUACGUUGUUUUCUAAUUAAUCCAAUGUAGACACAAAUUUCAUGGUCAUCAUUAUCUGAUCAUUGCCAUCUCCUGUUCAAGGGAGCAUAAAACUAGGCUGGUCUGCUGACCUAACAACGAUGACACAUAUGUUCUCAUGUAUGAACAGUAAACUUAAACCACGCCACUCAUUAGUUUUUAGUCUAUAUGCAACAAUAGUCUAAUAAUCAGAUCGAUGCACACUAGCAAAUUAAGCUACGUGGUAUGAGUAAGCAGACCAUCAAAAGCCUCUCCUUUGGAAACAAACUUUCCAAGAGGAGAAACUUGUGAAGAUUUUUUUGAAAAAAAAUGAGGUAAAAUUUGUCAUCAUAACACUAGCGACCAUAAUAUAAUUUAGUGGUAAGAAUUUCACAACUUGUUCAUAUUGAUAACAUGAUCGGAGGGUUGUGAAUAAGAUCUAAACAUAGGAACUAUCUCUAGAGGAAAUGAGUUUUUAGAGAGAGGAUAUUUUUGCUGCAUCUUGAACCAAACAAUAGUAAGAACCUGCAGCAAUGGAGAACCCCAAGUCUAUAAUUCAAUAAUCAAGGUUUCAGAUAUAGUUAACAUACUAUCUAAAUUCUAAAGAGCUUCUUUGCCUGUUCUAUGUCUUUCUAGAUAUACUCUUCCUUACUAGAUAAGUUGACCUCUAGGCUUGCUCUUCUUUCCACCUCCUCUCUUCAGGCAACCCUAGCCAGUGAUGGAGGCCGAUGACCUGAGCUCUGAGGAACCCGAGAUGGCCGAGCCUGGAGAAAACGGUGGCUCGAGCACUCACGCUGGCCGGUCCUACGACUGCAUCUUCUGCAAGAGAGGCUUCUGUAAUGCCCAAGCCCUAGGAGGUCACAUGAACAUCCACAGGAAGGAUAGAGCCAAGCUAAAACAUCCCUCCAAUCAAAGCCCACUCCCUUUCGACAUCCCCAACAAGUUUGCUCCCUCGUAUUCUCCGACCCCUGAGAACUACCCAUCCAAGCCGAUGCAUGGAAGCCAUAAUAUUAGAGGGUGCAUGUCCACAUGGCCAUGGAUGGCUCCAAAUGAACAAGGCAUCCCCGGAAAUAGGAUCCUCGAUGAAGGUGGGCCGAGGCAGAUGCCUUUGUUCGUCGAGAGGCCAUCACGAGGAGAUGGUCCCGCUUCGGGGGGCUUCGGCGAGCGAGGAGAAGAGGUAGAGCAGUCGGGCUAUGGAGCAGCGGCAAUGGAAUUAGACCUUGAACUCCGACUAGGAGUACCAGCUGAACCAUCUCAUACUGUCUCGGCAGCAGGCUUCAAGGAGUUUUUGUGAGAGAGGAUGCUGCCUGCUUAUUGGUUGUUAGAUAGAAAGGUAUUGUUCGCUUCUCCCAUUACCAUCUGCUUCACACAAGGGAUGAAGAUUGACCUAAGAAAAGGCACUGCAUACGUAUAUGUUCUUUAAUAGCUCCAACGCUUGUGGAAAAUAUGCAUAGUGAUAGAAUGAUCUUUCCUACUUACCUAUAUGGAUUUAUGCUGCUGGAACUCCUCUUUGCUUUUAGGUUUCCAUUAGUUUAUGUUUUUUUUUUUUGUUGAGAUAUAUUAGUUUAUGUAAAAUCGGAUGCUAGCUCUUGUUUGUUCAUCUGGAGUUAGAAUUUGAGAACUGAAGAAGAAAACCAGCAAGUGAGCGAACGCAGUUAUGUUUACAUUUCAUUUUCCUAAUUCGAUUUUAUAUCAGCCUGAAAAAUAUGAACAGUGAGGGCAUGCUUAGAAUGGUCACAGUUCUGAAGGCUUCAAAAUAUUGUGAAACACAAGUGUUUGAUAUAUUUCUCAUCAUUUUCUUACCCUUAUUUAUGGUAUUUGAGGUGAAUUUGCAAGUUCAGCAGGGUUUCUCCCAUUCUGUUGGGAUACUAGUUGUUGCUACUACCUAUAUAUCCCUGAAAUCUCUUCCUAUUUUUAAUAUAUCAAUCCUCUGCAUGAGCAUUAAUUUAUUCUUCAGCAAAGCUCCAAGCAUUACCUACUCUCUCUGUCCUUCAUUUCCUUUCCUCUUUUCGACUUGCACAUGGUUACUCCUUUAGAAGGCAGACAAUGACCAGGUGACUCUAUUCCAAGACUUUAUUCAAAGCUCCAGCUUAAAGACAAUUAGGUCUGGGGUCAGGGACUGAAAUAGUACCAAGGUUUUGCCAAGUUGGUGCUCUACACAUGGGCAUCCAAAUCAGGGCUCUGUUGUAGAUUAAGUUCAGAGGCAGUGUGCAUGCAGUUGUCACCAAUGUUCCCUUUUUUUUUCAACUUUGAACAUGAUACCAUGCGAACUUUCUCUAUAUUGGCAACAAACAGCAGAAAUUAUUUGCCACCAAUUUGUCCUUUGAUUGAUCUGGAAAUCUUCUAUAGGUCACCUCUUGUAUCGGAAAGGGAUGCAUAUUAAAUGAAUGAUUCCUACCAUGUCCUUGAACGCUGUAACUAUCUAAAAACAGGAGAUAGGUUCAUGUGCUAGGGUCAUUCAGCAAGUGUGAUUCUCCUAAUGCAAUUAGAAUCACCAGGAUAGGAUAACUAUUUUAAUUCGCUUAUCUGGUGCGACCGAUGGGCUUUUUUUUCUUUACUUAAAGACCUAUUUUUUGGAAAAUAUUUCAUUUUGAAUACUGAAUUUUUCUUGAUUCUUCAGGUUCUUAUUCUACUUGCAUGGCUGCAAUCCUGUCAAACAUCAUCAUUACUGCAAUUUAUAAACAAGAUAAGGUACAAUUUUUCAGAUUAGCUUCCAGUUGUUAAAAAAAGUUCAGUAUCUCAUAAUCCAAUGAUACUUUGUUUUUUUUUUGGAUUACAUUGAUUCGACCUACUCUAUAUGUUACAAGAGGGACUGAUAAAAUGCAGUAAUGGAUUAGUUUGCUGCCUAACUUUGAGCAUUAAAAAUCUUUAUUGGUAUAAGUUUCAAAAUUAUAUGCAUAUAGAUCGUUUGUUUUGUGCUGUCAAAUACAAACUAUAUGCAGUAAAAGGCCUGUAUAUUUAUCUGAUACCUUGCGAUACCAUGGUAGGCAUCAAGUACAGCUCAUCAGCAUGUACAGAAUAUAGUCCUUCAGGCUAGAGCAAGUGUGAUAUGUUUCACAUAUGGAAGGAGACUUGUAGAUAAGCCACAGCCUAAUAGUUAAUUCAAGUAUCCAAGCAAUUAUUGAGUCCAAAUUCGCAAGUUUACAAACAACAUUACUUAACUAAUUCCGCAUUUUUGUUUGCUAUUAGUAUUUUAUCUCAAAGAUAUCUUUUAUGGUAGUCUUAAGAAUCUUUUCACCUCAGAAGUGAUGUUAUCCCAAAAGAAGGCUAUCCAGGAGUUCUCUAUACAGUGCAACAGGUGGUUUUUUGGCUGCAAGAAUAGGAGUUACGAAAAUAUAUUGAUAAUAUUUAGGAUGAUGAAGCUUAUAUAAGUUGCCGUGCCAUCUUAAAAUUGUUUACAGGAGAGCAUUAGUGCGUUGCAUUUCCUAUUUCUUUUUCUAGACCACUUUAGGUGUAGAUAAGAACACUAUUCUUUUUUAUUCCAAUCAAAAAAAUGAACACUAUUCUUUUUUUUUUUGAUGAAAAUAAGAACACUAUUCUUUUGAGAAAUAUCCUAGGUAUGAACACUGAAGAUGCCUUCAGGUUGCACAUGUUACUGCUGACAAAUCAAAAUACAAACCUUCCAAAUCUAUGAGUCACUUGGAGCACUAAAGUAACACUCCCCUUCCGAAUAGGCACAUUUAGCCUUCUGAGCUAUAAGUUCAUGACCAUCCAAUUAUGGCAUCACUAAUAUUAAUUUGGCCUUCCAUUACAAUUUCAAAACUUAAGACUUGCAUAAGUAAAUGAUCCAUUGGAGGAAACUAUCCUACUCCAUGCUUAUGCUUGACCAAAUUACAAGCCCAUAGCAAACAAUUGUUCGAAUAACAUGGGAUGCAAAUGGUUAGAACAUAGCAGGUGCUGGUCUCUUAGAGAGGAAUUCUGGUAGAUCAGAGUUGUGCAACAUGUAUCAGGCCAAGCCUGGAUUUCUCUUUCUUUAUGAUGUGCAGAGUUCGGGUUGUAUCUUUCAUGUGAAAGAAUGAUUGAUCUUCUUUAACGACAUCAAUUGUUGGAUCGCGCCUUGCAUAGAUCUCAAAUCACUCCAACCUUUCUCUUCCAUCCACUUGCAUAGAUCUUGAUGCGGCCAUUAAACGAUCUAAUGAUUGAUAUUGCGAAAGAAGAUGAAUCAUUCAAUAUCCCAGAUCAAUAAUCAACAUGCCGGGUAGGACUGGACUUGGUCAUGACCUAAUGGAGCCCACGCUAUGGGUUUCUUAACUGGCCGGACCUGUCUAAAGUUGGACUUGGAUCCUGUGACUCCUGUCAUUGUUUUAGCAAAUCUCUAAGAUCGGAUGCGGCCCAAGCAAGGCAGAUAAGAUCGCAAGGUCAGCUUUUAAAGCUAGGCCAGGCCCAUUAACUGCACUGCUCUGCUUGGAUUUUUUUUUUUCCUUUUUAGAAGCAUGCAAACAGUUCUUGGAAUUACAUGAAGCCAUUUUUAUUCAGAGUAGAAUACUUCUUAAGUUAUAAUGUAACCUAACGUGGAAGCAGCUCAUAUCAUAUUGUAACAUUAAGGCAUUCUCUAAUAAUUUGUUUAAGUUUCUUCACCAUUGGAGGAGCUUGGCUGGUGAGACUGGGUCUCAUGCAUCCACUAUCACUGAUUUCACACCUGAUGAAAAAUGAAGCCCUGAUAUCACCCCAUCAAUGCAUGGAUGAAUUAGAUGUGUUUGAGCCACAGAUACAAUGGCAAAACCAAUUGCUAUACAGGAAACUUUGUUUCAUCCAGAAGAUGGUUCUAUUAGACAGAGGAGGGUACCAACUUGAGAGAGAUAGAUGGCCUUAUGUCCAAUUCAUGAACCAACUCAUAUGCACUUGGAAGCUCAAUGUUUUCCACCAUCAAACUUCUCUUAUCUCUAAUAACUCUAGUUUAUAUUUGAAACCAGCCAAGGUUUUUUUUUUAAAAAAAAUAAGGUAAAAAACCAGCAUAUGGAAAGGUAAAAGGACUGCGCUGCGAGUUCCGCAAAACCCCUCGCAGAUGCCGCCGAUUCCAUCUGCCGUGUCUCCCAUUCGCUGCCUCGGGAAUUUCUCCCGUCUGCACGCGGAGACACCACUUUUUCUACCGCAGGCGUUUGCGUUUCUACUUUCUAGCUAGAAUUCCACUUGGUCCACCUCGGAGGCCAGGAUGCCUGAGAUUUUUUUUUCUUCUUUCCUCUGGUGAAAAGGAAUGGUGGGAAGUGUUAGCUUUCAUAAGUUGAGAUUAAAACCUCUCCUGGUGCCGGCAAUGAAAAGAUAGAUGUCUCAUCAGUGGAUUAAAGAUCCAUUGGCUGGUUUCCUGUUGUCCUCAACAGUUGCCUUUUUCUUGCUCCUACGCUCAUUUGAUUUAUCUUGUCUAAGCUCUCUUAAUUUGGAUGCCAGUGCUUGCACAGAUUCUUGUACAGAUUCUUCAACAAAAAGUCUCUAUGUUUAAACAAAAUCAUGGGCUGAAGUAGAUAAAAGGUAGAGCAAGUAAUACUAUUUAUUAUGGGAAAGCAAUUGCUUCUCUGAGAUUGAUCUUAUCGCUGAGUUAGUCAUCCAACUUCCGAUAUCUUCCCAAUUUUAUCAGAACUUCGGAGCUUCAAAUUAGACCCGGCCGCCUGAAGAUUUUAUUGACUGAUAGAAUCUUCGAAAGUCCAAACAGGCUCUUUCAUAGUAUUAUAAGAUGGAUACUAAUUCCUCCACCUCCUUAGCCAUGUUUGGUUGUGGGAUGGUGAAAUCUAAAAUUCCAAGAGAAAUCAAAGUAAAACUCCUUGUCUCAUGACUCAUGAAGUAGAUUUAUUCAAAAUAUUUAUACAGAAUAUAUUUAUACAUUGGACAUAUAUUAAAUAAAUCUUGAAUAUUUAUACAAAAUUUUGAAAAUGCACUAGAUUCUGCAUUGCCACAGAAUCUUAGGCUCUUUUAUAGCUUGUAGCAUCUAUUGUAAGGGCAAUAGAGUAGCUGAUUGGGUUGCCACUUAUACACGGAAAGACAACAUCAAUUCGGAAGCAGGAGAUUCAUUGCCGAGUUUGCCACAGAUCAUAUUAUCUGCAUGUUUUUUUCUUUUUUUUUGGACAGAUAAUUCAUACAUGACGCGUAUAAAUGCAACCUUUAUCUGCACGCUUUCAACAUGUCUAACUUUUUUCUUUUGUGCUUAGCCCCUUUCUUAUAUACCAAAAAAAAAUCCCAAAGCCAUGAUGCAUGCUUUCCGCAAAGUCUUCUUAGUUUCGUGCUUAUGGACCAGCCACAAGCCACGAACUUUUUAACCCGCCAAAAGUCAAUGGGGCUGGUUGGUGAAGUGGGUGCCAAAACGAAUUUGAGCACGCUGUAGCGAAGAUUAUUCGCCACCUUUAUUCAGCGACCUUUUACCUCCUCUACAAGCGGGUGCCAUAUAAAGCUCGUUUGGUUCAUGAAAAAAGAAGAAAAAAAAGUAUGGUCAACAAAAAAGUAAUGAGAUGCCUCUUGUUUGGUUGGAGUUUUCAAAGGAGAAAGAUGGAAAAGUUAUAUUUAUAUGGAAAUAUGAUUUCCACAUUUUAUGGAAAAAUCUUUUCCAUAAGAAACAUGGAAAAGUUAUUUUUUCAUGAGUCAGGAAUCACUUUAUUUUUAUUUUUUUUCAAAAAGACCCUUCAGCAUUAAAUAAGCAUCAAAGACCCAAUUUUUAUUAAGGGUAUGAUAAGAAUUAUACAUAACUUUCUCAGGAAAGUGGAUGGUCAACCAAACAUAAGCACUCUGAAAAUCUGUCACUUUUCCAUGGUCAACCAAACAUGUCAAAAAUACUUUUUCAGGCAUUCUCUUCCUAGGAAUAUGCUUUUCAGGAAUCAUAUUCUUAGGAGGAAAAAUGCUUCCCACGAACCAAACAAGCCAAUAAUAAUAUUCUUUGAGUUUUUUUUUGUUUUAAUAUAUAUGAAAAUCAGAUUUGAUUGCAGUUAUAUACAAUGAUAAGCAUCAUAGAUGCACCAAUCAAUCAGUGUACUUCGAUAUGCAAAUCACGAAUAAAACUAAAAAUAAAGAUAACAUAGUAAGGGCAUAAUUUUAUUCCGCUUGUUAUGUUAUGAGGUUAGCUGGGAUAAUAUAGCGAUCAGCACAAUAUGCAAACGAAGGGCAUUAUGGUGCCUGAAAAAUGUAAGAAAUUGUGUCAUGAUAUAAAUUUUGCAUGUUUCCUACUACCCUUAUGUUAUUAGUCCUUACCUUAUUUUUUAUUACAAACUAAUUUCAGUUUGGAUUAGAACUGUGUAAAGUUGAGUACGUUAUCCUAAUUUAUCUUGUCCAACCUAACCUUGUAGGAUCCUUCUUAGUCAUGACAACUCAACCAACGAUGAUUUAUUUGGACACAUGAUAGAUGUGUAACCAGCUAAAGAUGUGCGUCGCUAUGGCCGGCGUCACGCAAUGCACUUUAGAUUGUGCAACUUCUUUAAAGAAAAAAGAUAAAUUAUAUUUUUGGUCUUCCAAAUUUUAUAUUUUUUUUAAAUAGUUUUUUUAAUUAAGUUCCUCAACUUUUAAGUGUGAUUUGAUAUAGUCUUUUCGGUCAAUUCCGAUCAAUUUCUGGCAUCAAAAGGGUGUACAUAAUGCACAUGUGACAUUUUUUUCCUUACUGGCACCAAUAUCAACAUCAGUAAAUAAAUGAAAAUUUAGCAUAACUUUGUAAAAAAAACUUAUACUUUCUUGGUACAAGGCACCAAAGAGAACUCCUCACGGAAACAGGAGAGUUACCUCUUAUUGGCAAUGGUGAGAAGCAAUCUAAAAACUGAACAAGGCUAGCUUGUAUAUGUACUAAAAAUUUUGUAGGUGAAUAAUUGAUGUGGGAUUAUAUACAUGUUCGCAUGGAUUCUCAUAUACUAUCCUCAUUUUAAGCCAUGCCUUUCUCAUCAAGCUAAGGGUCCAAAUUUAUUCAAAUCAAAUUACAAACUCUAUGAUCAACCCAUGGUCAGUCUUAAUGAGCUCGUGCUGCAAUGUUUCCUAGUCUACAUUGGCCUGCAGUAUUUUCUAGUCUAUAUUUGUAACAACUUAGGAUCUUACAUAAAAUAGCUAGCUGAAACAUAUUUUUUUGAUUUUUUUUAGUUCUACAUAAAUAUCCAAAAACUUUUUGAUAAAUAAUAGAUACAAGACUAAAUACGAGAACUGCAAUAGCAAUAAGAAAAUCUCCACCGGAAAAGGAAUGCUCGGUCGGGAGGGGGGCAAAGUUGAGGAGUAAGGUGAGCUCCCAUAUGGAGUGGAGCUCCCAACAUGGGCCUUGCGCUGGUCCUCAUUCUUUAGCUUUUCGGGUGGGUGGUGCAGGCCUUGGGGAAGCUGGUGACCUGCAGGCUGCCUUCUCUGACUAUCAUUGCUCCUCGAAUGCGGAUCCAUCCAUGGGGGGUAGCGAGGCAGGAUUCACCGAAAAUAAGAGAAUCCAGCAAGAGGGAUUAAGAUGGAGGUAAGGGUUUUGGGUGGGGAGAAGCGGAUGUAUGAAGUUGUCCUGGGCACUUUGAGACCUGUUAUUUGCCGAUUCUAUUAGGUGUAUUCGUACUCGUGAUGUAUGAAAUACCCAUUUCAGCACAAAAAAAAAGUAAAGAGUUGAGGAGGGGUAAUUUAGGAAUCUUGGUGGGUUUCUCUUGGUCGCCAGAUAAUUUGGAAAUAUUGUUGGCAAAGUUAUGCUACAUCGUGUGUGCUGACAUUAGUGUUAGCUAGAAAAAAAAAUGCCAUGCGUGCAUCGUGUCUAAUUUUUUAAUAUUAAAAAUUAAUUAAAAUCUAUAAAAAAAUUAUAUUAAAUUAUUUUAUUAAAAUUAAGAGAUCUAAUUAAAACAAUUAUUAAAAAUUAUUAAAAAUAUUUAUAAAAUUGAGAGGAUCAAAAUUAUAAUUUACCUUAAAGAAAACAAGACAGGCGUUGAUGGCCCUAAAAAAGGCACACGUAAUGUGCGUAAUACGUGCAGAAAAUGUAUUAGUGGACGGUGGGUUAGAAACGGUGAUCAAGGAUUUUGUCCUAAGCUGGGGAGGGAGCAGUGUUUCAGGGACGUGGGCCCUGUCCUUUAAUUGAUGCUCUCCGCCUCCGACCUUCCACUCGAUGCUGCGUCCGGACUCGAGAAGGUGACGUGUUCCAACCAUCCUCCCACUUUCCCAUGCGCACGUUACCCCACUCCCCCACCCCAGCCCCCUUUAAUAAACUUGCAGAGAGAGGAUGGACGGAGAAAACCAGGAUCCCAGCAUCCAAACAAUCCAAACGAAGGCUUAAGAGGCAUAGCAUAAGUAAUCCAGGGAAGAGGAUUAAUGAAUUAUUUAUGCUGGUGAUAACAUAUCAAAACGGUGAGAGCGAGCGAGAGAGAAGAGGGGGAGAGGGGAUGACUGGAUAUUAAGCCACAGCAGAAGUAGCAGCUGCGGCAGCGGCAGCCUGGGAGAGCCGUGGUAUAUAUAUCCUCUACUUGCCACGAGCAGUAGAGUCAGAAAGCAGGGAUAAAUAAAGAUCACGGCCACAGCCUUCACAGGUUUACUUUUGAAAGAAAGCCGAGACACAGAGUCUUCAAACUCCCGAUCCAGCAGUUCAAGAAUUAUCGGUGCAUCUCUACAGUUUUGAAGGUGCGUUUUGGAAUUAGUCUGAGCUAUGAUUCUUCCCUUUUUACGUUUGGAUUUUUACUAAGGGUGCAACUGGUAGGGUUCUCGUGGUCUGAUUCAAUUCGUAGAGACGGCUUUCAGCUAAUCAAAUAUAAUCUUAUUCCUCUCCUGCUCUCCUUCUAUUGUGGUGGAAUAUUUUGGGAGAUCUGGUUUAAUCAACUGGUUUAACUUGAUCCCUCCAAGAAAAGAGAGGAAAUCUAAGGGGAGCUCAAAUUUUGGAAUGAAGUAGAGAUAAGCGAAAUGAUAAGCUUGCACUUGGAUCUAUAACUCUUUAGUUUCUUCCAUGAAGAAAUACUAGCAGGAAAGCAAGGAAUAGAAAAGAAAUUGGAAUCUAUAUCACAUGGUAGAGAAAUAAAUUGAUGAAAGAGUAGCAGAAGCGGCAAGCUAUAACCAAGAGACCAGAAAGUCUUUUUUUUUUUUUAAUGAAAUAAGUGACCAGAAAAUUAACUAGUAUAGUUUUCCUUGCUUUUGUUGUUCUCUUUGGUCUACUCAAAGAAGGAAAGCUGGCGAACCGGUGGUGGGCAGGCAGCGUGACCAUGGGAGGUGUCGACCGGGCCGUCACCUCCUCGACCUCGGCCUCUCCUCUCCAUCUCCGCAACCCCACCAAUUCCCACCUCAGUCCUCACCGCCCAGACCAAGACCCUAACCCUACCACCACCAACAGCAGCGGCAGCAACAACCACACAAGCAACGACGACGACGCCAAUGCAGAUGACCAGUCCCCUGCUGGUAGCCUCGAUGUCGCCGAGGGCGGAUCCACCGGCGGCGGCGCCCCUGGACGCCGCCCCCGCGGCCGCCCCCCCGGAUCGAAGAACAAGCCGAAGCCGCCUAUCAUUAUCACCAAGGAGAGCCCGAACGCCCUCCGAUCCCACGUCCUCGAGAUCGCUAGCGGGACCGACAUCAUGGACGCCGUCGCUGUGUUUGCUCGCCGGCGGCAGCGCGGUAUCUCCAUUCUCAGCGGCAGCGGCGUGGUGACUAACGUCACUCUCCGCCAGCCAGCAGCGCCGCCUGGGACCGUCGUCACCCUCCACGGCCGCUUCGAGAUCCUUUCCCUGUCCGGGGCCUUCCUCCCGGAGCCCUCGCCGACGGUUUCCACCGGGCUGACCGUCUACUUCGCCGGCGGGCAGGGGCAGGUGGUGGGGGGGAGUGUCGUGGGGGAACUCGUCGCGUCGGGACCGGUGAUGGUGAUCGCCGCCACGUUCACAAACGCCAUGUACGAGCGGCUGCCGCUCGGGGACGAGGAGGCCGAGGAGACGGAGGCGGCGCCACCGAGGGGAGCGGAAGGAAUGGCGGCUUUGCAGCAGAGCCCACCGGGAGGGAACGGAUCGGCGUCGCAGCAGACAUCUCAUGCAGGGUCGGCAGCGGCCGACCCGUCGUUGAUGCCGCCGCUGUAUAACCUGCCACCCAAUCUGCUGCCGAACGGUCAAAUGACACACGAGGUGUUCGGCGCUUGGGCUUCCGCGGCUCCUCGUCCUCCACCGUCCUACUAAUAUAAGUCCCUCUCUCUCUUUCUAAAUAUAAUUUGCCACGAAAGGGAAAAAUAUUUCUAUUGCUUUCCUUCCAUUAUCAAUGCUAUCAUCAUCACUGGUUCGGUUUGCUUGUUUAAAUGCUUGUGUUAUUUUGUAAACUGCGCAUGCAUUGCUGUAGAAUUAGACUGUUUCAAUGCAAUGUCACCUUUAUUUUCUAUUCCCAUCCAUGCCUUUGUAUAAGUUUCAAUUGAGUCUGUUGUUCUCUGCUGCUGCUUCUUCUUUAAUUAUUUUGCUAUUUAAUUCUAUAGAUCAGCCGACUGUCUUUAUAUUGGUUAUUAUUAUAUAUUUUAUUUCAUUUUAUUCGAUGGGUUUCAAAGCUAGAUCAGGAGAAGUUGGUUUUAGAAUUUCUUUUCCUUUCUUUUUCCGUUUUCUUUUUUUUAAAAAAAAAUUAAGAAGUCAGUUUUGUGGUCUUGGCUGAGAGGACCGAUGGAAGAGAGGAAAGAUGAGGAACCUGUCGGGUUCAUCUCCGUGGAGCUUUAAGGGGUGGGGUUGAGAUUUCGAGGAGUUAAGGAGCUUGAAUUUGGAUAGGCAUGGAGGCUGUGGUGGGGCUUUGAUGAUUGGUGUUUGAUAUAGCUUGGCUUUUUUGACAACUCUUGGAGUCUUUUGCAUGUCUUAUGCUAUGUUUCCGUCGAUAUCGAGUCUUAUGUACGCCCUCUUUCUCAAGAAAACAAGGUGGCCACAAGAAACCUUCUGCAUAUAUAUACCCAAAUGGAGACUCAUCAACCAUUUCUAUUAAGAAAAUGAAUAGGAACAGAUGCUCACUUUCUCUGUAAAUGAGUGCAAGUGUUAACUUGUGGUGCAACUUCUCAGGACCCAAUUACUUUUUGGAGUUUGGUUGAUUACCAUUUCCAUCUGUUUCUUAUAUUCGAGUGAGGUAGAUUGGCAACUGUAACAAAAGGCGAAACGUAAAGGCGAUAUAUUCCUGGAAAAGACCUAACACGACUCGAGUCAAUUGCGUCUUCGUCAAUCUAAUUCUUUCUUGAUGCAAGUAGGCGUGAGUCUUAGCUUUCUUGUUCACGUACUACUGUACUGCAGCCAACAGGCAUCUUUAUCAUAUAUUUGGUAUCCGGUGGACUUGUUCUUGUUUGUUCGCAUUCACAUGCAAUCGUUUGCAUGNNNNNNNNNNNNNNNNNNNNNNNNNNNNNNNNNNNNNNNNNNNNNNNNNNNNNNNNNNNNNNNNNNNNNNNNNNNNNNNNNNNNNNNNNNNNNNNNNNNNNNNNNNNNNNNNNNNNNNNNNNCAAAUUUUUAAGAACAUUUCCUGUGGUUUGUUUCAAUUAUGUACAUCCUUGUCUUGUUACACCAAAAAUGCAUCAGUCUAGUAAGUAGUUCUCAGAUUUAUUGGCUUUCUUUAGAGCAUCAGUCGCUCAACUUAGUUCAUUAAACUGAAAAUCCAUCAAAACCAUAUAGGUAGGUCAUUUGGCCAGAUAUUCUUAUUCUGGCUUGUUAACACCUUUGCCUGCUUGCUCUAUUCAUGCAUGCGUGCCUACUUUCGAAUAUUUGGAACAUUUUAAGCUGUGUAUCUAUUGUUGGUGGAAUUUGUUACUACAAAAAUACUUCUUCAUGGUUUAUACUUCAUCAAUGCUAGGAAAAAAAUAAGUUAAAGAACACUUCACCAAGAGUGAGAUUUGACUUCACCAAUGCAUGUAUUAGUAUGUUGUUCACUGUGGUUAGUUUUUUGUUUGAAUGGACUACUUUCCAUUUGAUUUCCUUUUUAGUUUCAAAAUAUUGGCCAUCCUCAUCUUCGUAUUACUUUAAAUUUCUCGAACAAUGCACAGACUAGUAAAAUGUUUGCAACUUCUAUCCCUUGCAUUUGAAAUUGGUUGUUUCAUGUUAGUGCCAUGCUCAACUGUUCAACAUCAGAAAUGGAAUGUGUUUAGCAUUCUGUCUACCUAAAAUUGAGGCCCUAAGAAUUUAAGGACCAUAUCCUUCCCUUGCACUGUCGAUGUCGAACUAUCAUAAAUGUAAUCCAUAAAUCAUUGUUUGUAAAAAUUCGGUCAUCUGUGGCUGAAAUAGCAGAUGGUUCUUGGAUUUUGAAUUAGUAUCUUCUUUCCUAUUCACAUCAUGCGGUUUCUAUUUUGUGUAAAGCAGUAUAUUAACAAUCUUCCUUCAUGGCCUGAAACAUAUAGAAUCUUGCCUCUCAUUUUCAUGAAUCAUAAAAUUUUGUCUUUAUAAUUAUACAGCCUUGGUGUAGGGAUGAGUUAAGAUUUAAAAUAUAUUUACCUUUUGGCAUAAUCUAUAAAAUGUUUGGAUCAAAAAUUCGUGUGACUUAUAUCUUGUAACUUGGAUUUCUUAGGUCAGAUGAUUCUUCUUCUUGUUUUUUUUUGGUUGUUGUAAGCCCUACUUUGAUUCGAAAGAUUGUUUAUUUUAGCACUUUUGCUCCCAUGAUAGUACCUACUAACCACCCUCCAUUCCAGUUAGUACCUAAAACCUUAUUUUUCUUUCUCUGAAGGAGUAUCUAAAGCCCAUUCGAUAUAAAAAAAUACUUUGUUUGGCUUAAUUAGCAUUAUUCUAUUUCAAAAAGAAAAAAAAUCAUUAAUUUGGAAAUAAAGCAUGAUAGCACAGGCAAUCUCAGAUUAUUCUUUUCUUUCAAGUAGUAACUUUGCUGAGUUCAUAAUAUUCUCUUCCGUAAUUUGAACUCUCUGUGACCAUUAAGUUAUAUGUAAUGGAUUUGGUUUCCAUUUGAGUGCACACUUCGAAUACUGAUUAACAAAAUCUUGUCCACACUGUGGGUGGCCUUUCAUUCUUUACAAAUAAGAAUCCAAUAAAUUCCAAGCGCAUAUCGCCCAAAUAUAGGUCUCUAAGCAUUACUGUUUAAUUAUUCUUUGUUAUCCUGCAGACUAAGGAAUACCGGGAAUGACUAGGAUAACAGUUAAUUCAAAUACAACGAGGGUUCCACCACCUUGUUUUGGAAAAUGAUUCUCUCGUACCAUAUUUUAAACGUAGAAUAUAUGUUAUUCAUCAGAGUUCCAAAUCCCUCUACUUGAUGAAUAUUAAGGCUUUAGUUCCAUUGCCUAGAUUGGAUGACUCCUCUAGCUGUCGAAGCUUCCAGUAGGAGGACAUGAAAUUGAUUGAUAUCUACAUCUCUAUCCCAAGUAGUCCCAUCGAAUGAUGUUCUACCAUGGGUUUAUCUUAGACUGUGCUUUAUGGACUCUGAUAUUUAAUAAAGCGACUCGACCGUUAAUGGAUCACUACUUGACUUCCCUAAAAUUUUAAAGAAAUUAAGGUGCUACUUGGAGCAUCGAUGGAUAUCGAUAUCUUAUCAAACCUGAGACAACUGAUAAUUAGCUUUGAAAUCAAAGCUCGGGUUCCGCCAUUUCUUCAUUAUUGUUUGGCAAGCAGUACUCUUUAGCCUUCACUUGAUCACAAAAAUAAUCUUAUCCUAUUAUGGCCUUGCAUGACUACAUGCGUGCAAUCAAGUAACCCCCCCUAUAGCUUUCCGACACUGACUACACGCAUGUAUGCGUGAAGGGUUCUUUAUUUUUUUUUGGUAGAAAGCAGCAUUCAUAUAGCUCUUAUAUGGGUACAGCUACCAAGUCAGAAACAAUAAAAUGAUACAAGGGAGAGGGAAUCUCAGUGGCAGUAGUCCAAAAAUACUCUCUAGAGUGCCGAGCAACAUAGAAGACGAUUCAAUCUGCAACUCUAUUCGCCUUUCGAUACACGUAUGCUGCCUGUAAGAAGGCCAAUUUUUUGACCAAUCUGCGAGUCUCACGAAUCAGUAGAUGACCAUCCCCAUAUCGAUCACCUUUCUCUAUCCAAUCGGUCACCAUAGAAAAAUUUCCUCGAUGUCUACAUCACCAUGAAGGGUUCUUGAUUCCAUAAGUACGUAGGACCGGGGAAUAAGUUUGUACGUUUGGCGGAUAGGGCAUCAACCAAGGUGCCGUCCAAGUUAUCGCGUGCAAUGGCCUAACUCUUUGUCCUGCAUGGGUGGCUUGUCCCGUCUCCCAUUCCAUCCAAGUGGCAAAAGUCUUCAUCUCCUCCCCCAUGGGCCAUCUCAAUGAAUGAAUUGCUCCAGAAGUAUCCAUGCCUUGAAUUGAAACGUUUUCCGAUUAGGCCCGUGCAAAAGACGUGAUAGAGGUGGGUGCAAAUUUUUGAUUAAAUUUGAAUAAAUUUAAACUCUUAAUUUAACGUUAAAAAAUUUAACCGAAGAAAAAAAAUUAAAUAUUUAUAUAGAACCAAAAAAUUUAAAUAAUAUUUUUGAGCUAGUUUUUUUUUGAAUAAGAGUUAUGAGAGAGACCAGCUCAUAGUGGUAUGAAAAAUUAAAGUUCAUAUAGAUUAUUAGAGUUACUUCAAAGAAACAGGAUUCUUCCUGUCCUCGAGUCCUCAUUUUGCUCAAAUGAUUGGUCAUGCUGUGGGAGAAAAUGUUGCUGCAAAUAUUUCCUUUUGUGAAUUUAUUAUAUAAUUUAGCUAUAUUAUCAUAUCUUAUAGUUGCAUUAUUAUAUUUUUUUUUAAUUGGAGGAGAUUAAUUUGCAGGAUCAUUCUAAGAAUUGCUAAGGACAUAUUGCUGUGUGAAGGUAACCGUGCCCUUUUUCCUUCAUUAAUUGUUUAGAGAUCUCAUGUUUGGUAUGUUUGGAGCCAUUGGCUGCAUCAAUGAGAGGAGGAGGUAACCAUGCUAAGACUGAACAUUUUGGGUCAAAACAACUGCAACGGAAACCAAUGAUGCCGUAUACACCUUUCCAUUUGACUUAUCUAAUACAGUGUAUGGGGAUACUUACUCCCAAAUUGUCCCACAUUGCGGCCUGCUACUUUCUUUUCCCAGAGACAUGAUAGACUAUUUAGGUUGGAACACAGAGGAAACUGUUGUCAGCCAUCCGAAACCAAAGGCUCAUUUCGUAAAGUUGGUGGUUUUAUUUUAUAUUUGUUUAUGUGAGCAGCUUUGGGCCUGCAUGUGGAUAACAAGCCGGGCUUUCGUUUGGGACAAGAUAUUCUUUACCCGCCCAAAAUCCUAUGCAGAAUGGGCUAAUCUCCCGUUGAACUUCACGGUCAAUUUCUACUACAAAUUUCUACUGCAGAAUAGGCUAACAUCAGAAAUCAGAUGGUCAUAAUUUCUACUGCAAAUUUCUCCAUUGGCAAUUUUUUUUUCUUUCUAAAUCCCUCAGCGAAGCAUUCACCGAGCCUGUAGAAUAGAAAAGUCUACGUCGAACGUUUUCUUGCAUUAUUUACAUGCAGACUUGGCUAUACUCUCACAAGACAAGCUAUCUGUUUGAUUCACCAUGGUUGUAAAUUAUGUGUGGACUUAAACAGUCUUAGAUAUGCUUUGAAUUUGAAAUAUACAGCGGUUAGUCCGUCUGACCGGUCGGUUAGGUCAAAUGAUUUGAUUGCCUGCUAUAGUCAUCUGCUCUGUUCGGCAACUUGAUCAAUUGCUUAAAUUGGUAGCUUGAUCGGAUUCUCUGUACGAUAUUCUGGUCAACUAAUUUGAUCAGUAACAGUGGAUGAAUUCAGACCACAACAAUACCCCCCCUUAUGGAAGGUUCUUUGGAUCUCACAAAAGCGAUCUCUACCGGCUGCGAAUCCCAAGGGAAAAAGCUAGAAAUCAAGCAAAGAUUGUGUUGACCGAACUCCCAACGUAUGCCCAUCAACCGCGGACCCCACACGCAGUGUACAUGCCGAGUCACCUCAUCCUCCCAGUCCCUUCCUACAUCAACCAAAAAGAGUGAGUCGUACCCACCCAAUUUCCCGGCUGGUGUUGCAUGUAAUGUGUAUGCAAGAAAAUGUGGCAGUCCCUUGCUUAAUGAACAAGUCAAAAAGGCUUUAAGAAGUCCAUCAAUUGAUUGAUUGAUUGCUGCUAUUUCUUUACCUGGUUAUCGCCCUUUGGUUGAAAGGAAAAGCAAGUCCAUCGCUGGUUAUUGCCAUUUCGUUUUCCUAUGUCACAAUCCUAAGCUAUUUGAGGCUUCCGCAUAGACUUCGCUUAAAUUCUGAGUCACAGGCUUGGCAAAGAUAUACAUGUAAACGUAGAAUAAAUUAUCCUUUCAACAAAGUAUCUACCACGUACCACAUGGCACUGCCUGGUUAGAUAACUUAAUCAUAGCAAGCAUUUCAUAGUGAUUAGCGACAUGGCGUUAAACGCCAAGCAGUCGGCAUCUUGCACGACCUUCUCCUCUUCGUUUCCCAUUCCAUGUUCAUUCCCUGUAAUCCAACUGUAUCAAAGCGCGUCCAAGGGAAGCCUCUCAGAAAACGGCAACCUCACUCCCUCCCUCCUCUUAUACCCCGCGCGGCCGCGCCUCCCCUCUCGCCGCCACCCCACCAAAUGAAACACCAACGAUAGCGUUAACAGAUCCCGAAACAACCGCUUAUCCCGGAAUAACAUAUCCGCGUCUAUGGUCGUGCCGAAGCCAUGGCGGAACGGUCCGGACCGCGAGUGCCUCGACCUCCGGCUCGACGAACCGGCCGGCGGGGGGAAGGCCCCGGGUAUCGGGAUCCUUGCCUUCGAGGCCGCGGGCGCCAUGUGCAGCCUCGUGUCGCUCCAUCGGUCCCUCUCCGAUCCCGAAAUCCUUAAACUCCGAUCCGAAACGAUGCGCUCCCGGGGCGUGGCCUACCUCAACUCCACCGACCAAGCCCUCCUCCUCCGCCUCGCCUGUGCCGAAUUCGUCGCCGACCUCGACCGCGCCGCCGCCGCGGCCUCUCGCCUCGCUUCUCGGUGCCAGGGGGCCCUCGCUCAAAGGUUCGACCGGGUCUACGCCAACCUCAAGGCCGGCUCGGCCUAUCUUGACCGGAUCCCUGUGAGCCUUAAAGGGGUCGAGAAAAGGAUGAGAAGCAUGGAGCGACACGUCGCGGCGACUGCGAGAUUAUACGAGGAGAUGCAGGUCCUGGGCAUGCUGGAGUCGUCGAAGCGGAAGUGGGACCGGUACAGCGGGCCGAUACCGUUGCAGAAGCCGAGCAAAGCGGAGUCGGUGAAGCUCGAGCUGAAGUCGCAGCGCGAGAAGGUCUUGAGGCUGAGGAAGGAGUCGCUGUGGAACCAGAGCUUCGACAAGGCCGUCCGCCUCAUGUUGGAAGCCGUCUGCGGCGUUUUCGCUCGAAUCUGCGCCGUCUUCGGCCGGUUCGUACCGACGCUGCCGCCGGUCCUCGUUUCGCCCAGCGCAUCUCCUGCCAGUUUCGUUCCGGCCCGUCCCAAGUUACGACUCUAUCCCCGGUUCCCAGCCAAGCACUCGUCAGGUCCGCUUGAGAGACCGGCGGUAAAGCACCUAAUUAUCCCAAAUUCCUGCCCCAUAUUCCGCACCAAAGAAUCGGAGCCGAAACACUGGAGCAGGUUACUGCAGCCGGCACCGAACACUGUGGGUGGUGCCGGGCUAGCGUUGCGAUACGCUAAUGCGAUUGCACUGGCUGAGAAGAUGUUGACGACAAGGUCUAACUCCGGCGAACCGGAGGCGGGGGAGGCGGCGGCGAGGGAGGAGCUGUACGAAAUGCUGCCUGCUGGGCUCCGGGCGAUGGUGAGGUCGAAGCUGAGGGCUUGCUGGAAGGAGCGGGGGCCGAUGGACGGAAGGUUGGCCCAAGGGUGGAAGGAGGCGGUGGAGAGAAUACUGGCAUGGCUGGGACCGGUGGCAAGUGACACGAUUCGGUGGCAUGAAGAGCGGCACAUGGACUGGAGGCAGCGAUUCGACCCAAGUCCGAGAGCGCUGAUGCUUCAGACGCUGCACUUCUCCGACCGGGAGAAGACGGAGGCGGCGAUCGUCGAGGUUCUGGUUGGGUUGAGCUGCGUGUGCUGGUACGGGGAGCAGCGCCGUGGGUCCUUGCGGGUUUCAUGCAAAGCAUUGGGCUAGCUUGACGUUGUUAUUUGACAUCUGGAUGGAAGCUUGCAUCAUGCCAGGCUUAACCUGUACCGAUAUCAGGUUCAAGUCUUGAUGUCAAUGAACAAAGUUUAGCUGAAGUUUGAGUACUAAAUUAUCGACGCUUUGGCUUGCUUAUACUUAGAUAGAAAGGGUGAUUUCAUGUUUGCCUGUGAGCCUACACUGAUUUUUUGUUCGGGGCCAUUGUACACAGUUUGAUUCAAACAGAACGGGUUUUAUCUUUCUGUGAAUCCACCGUUGGAUCAUCCACAGAUUGCUUUGAGAUUUGCUCAUAUGCUUUGAGAUCUGUAAAGUAGGUAAUCCAAUGGUGUAUUUAUGCAAAGAAAGGUGAAUCUAGUCAUGAUUCAGAUGUAAGUUAGGAGUUAUUCUCAACUGUUUGUUGAGAAAGACCAAUUGGUUAUCCUUCUCUGAUUCAUAUUUCUUAUGUUUGCCCCGGACGGUUGACUCCGUUUGCGUUGCGAACGAAAGCGGCACAUGGCCGGCCGUCACCAUCGCUGAAAUGCUUUGGAUAUUUUAUAACAUAUGGCUGAUUGAGAGAACGAAUCAGAUGCUUGAUUAUUUUACAUGAUGAACUCUUUAUUAUACAUGAUUUUUUAUUUUAAAAAAACCAUGAACUCUUCUUUUUCUUUGUUUUGAAAUUCUUAUACGUAGAAAGAUUGGCCUAAUUAUGGAUGCUUAACUAAUAGGAAAAUUAAGUUCUAUCAGCAUCAAAAGUAAAGCUGGUAUGCAUAAUUGGAAAAUCACGAGUUGGAUUAUCGGUCCCAUUCAUGUCUGCCUCCUUUUAUUUGUUGUAAUAUCAGCAAAAUACUCAAAGGAAAAUGAAAUUAUUAUUCCAUACAUUGCCUAAUUAGAAUUUCAUUGAUUGGUUGUCUAUGGUUACCCUUCUUUUUGAGGUCAUGCAGCUAAACCAUGCAUGUCUUUAGCCAUAUGAAAUAUAAUGAUUCAUCGUGGUUUCAGAGGACUUUUUAACAAUUAUCUCAUUUUAACCCAAUUUAAAUGGAAAAUUCUAACUUUUCACUGCAUCCAUUUAAUUUUAUCUAGGAAAAAUGUACAAAAGUAUACUAAAGAUCAUGCCCAAUUAUGGUAUCUAGUAAGAAUCAACCCAUUGGUAUGGAUACAUGGAGGUAUGCUUUAUAUGACAUAAUUCCUUUGAUUGUUCUCUUAGUGGAUUUCAGGUGAGCAUCAAAUUCACCAUCCACUUGGCAUGCAAAGCAUGCCGUAUAUAUGCAGAUGGUUAGGGACAUGGGAGGUCUGCUUUUUGCGACAAUGCUGAUGACAAACCUAGCUUUCUUUCGACUGUGGGCAUUAAAUAUGCCAUGUGGCAAUUGAUUAAAUGGUUAGGUAUCUUAAAUAGUUAAUAGUUAACUAAUAAAUUCAAAAUUAUGGAUCAUUUUAUGAGGUCAAACUUCCUACCAAUCCAAAUGAAAUUGUGAAUUUGCCAUAGUGGUGCGUUCGCCACCUCCCCUAUCAAACAGCCAUAUGGCGCUGGCUCCUUUCGUCUACGGUCAAGAACCCCUUGGAAGCCCAUUUUUAAUGGAUAGGAAUCUAACUAAAGCCCUUAAAAGAAGAAGGGGUGGUGCAGUAAUUUCGCAUACUAGCCCUUUGUCUAUAGAAGUUUCACACAUGUACCGGUGCCGUAUGUAGUUUUCUAUUUUCCGAUCUUGUUGGCCGUAUUCAUAUCUGUCGAGUGUGAGCUGCAAAAAAUUUUUUUUUUACGCGUAGCCUGAAAAAUAGGAUACCCACUUUGGGCCCUGUAGUAGUUUUUUGUUUUUUUGUUAAGGCAAACGAGUCAGACUAUAUGAGUACGAACACAUCCAAUAAAAUCAGAAAACAACACAUCACGAAAUAUUCUAGUCAACACUUUUUUUCGAGUCUAUAAAGUGCCAUCAUAGUGAUUGGCUACGUAAACAGCCAUUUAAUCUACAGUAUUAGUGGCCUCUCUAAAAUAUGUUUAGCCUGGAACGCCAUCCGGUCCGGCCCAUCUAUCAAAGCAGGUCUUUUAGAAAAUAUGGACUAGAGCGCGGGCCGGGCUCUCGCCGACCCUUCGGCCUUCGUACGGCGCGGCACGGUUUCCUCCGGACGCAAACUUAUUUAUAUUCUUCCCUCGAUACCCUGUUUCUCGUCCGCAACCCACUCCCCCUCUUUUCUCCCUCCUUCCCCACUGCUCUCGAAACCCUGGACCUCACGAAGCCCCAAGUUUCUUUAUGAUAUCACCCUCGAAUCCGCUCGGAUUCGCGUAUCUUCCGCUCUCCGUAUCUCUCCCGGAGGUUCUCUGCCCCCGCUUCCGCUUUUGGGAGACGUUGGUUGAUCGCUGGAGACAGCGAUCAGGGUCUGCGCUGUUUACAUCCUUGUUGUCGACGACGCCAUUAGCAAGGUGCGCGACGGGUUCGUGAAUUUCGGGUUCGGAGAGAAUGUAUUGAACGAACUCCCAUUGGUAAACCCUCUUCCUCAUUUUGUUCCAAGAUAAGUUAAAGUUUUUUAACUGAUCAAUUUGUUAUCAGGGUUCAUUUGUCUUCUGGCAAGCUAUUGGAAUCAAAGAAACUAAAAUGUUAUUUCCUCUUUUGAUUUUUGUUUUUUGUUUCGUUGGAUCUAUUUAUGCACUAAUUUUCUCCAAAAACAGGCUAAAUUUUCCAAUCCGAUCCGCUUUAAGGGUUUUAGUUGUCUUCUGGCAAGCUAUUGCAGUCAAAGAAACUAAAAUGACUUUUUAUUACCUUUUCUUGCAUUAUUGUGGUUUAACAUCCGCAUGGAUACCUUUUUAUUUCCAGAAAAAGGCUAAAUUUCGUCAAUCUGCUGUGGUUUAUGGUUAUUAGUAUCUUCUUGAUAAGCUAUUGGUCUCUCUCUUCUUUUUCCCAUCUACGAGUCUUUUGAUUUUUCACGUAAUAUCUGUAUGUACGAUUUUUCCCAGUAAAUGCCUUUUUUUGAUAGAAAAGGCUAAAUUCUUUAAUCUGGUAUAUUUUUAGGGUUUCAAUUGUCUUCUCUAGGCUAUUCGGACAAGAUUUAUUUUUCCUUGUUUUUUUUUUUUGGGCCUUUUGGCUUGAUCAUGGCGGAAAAAGAAAAAAAAAUCUAGCUAUGGGAGACGAAGAUGAUGUAAACUGGGGCUGUAAAUGGAACAGUGGAGAGGUCAUCCGUCCAGAAACCUGCUGGACCGAUCACCACUGUUCAUGCCCUUAAUGUAUACCAUAUCAAGGGCCAAUAGAGGAUUAUGAGACCCCAACAGCUGAGAUGCUUUUUCUGCCAGUGUGCUCUCUGCCUUCGUUGAUCAUUUGACCCAGAUGCAUUGUGUUCAAGUAAAAACCUCCCUUCUUUUUGCGUUACACAUGUAAUUUAUUUGAUUAUUUUUUCAAAAAAUAUGGCAAAGUUACACAUGUAACUUUGCCAUAUAAUUAUGCACCAUGACUCUUGUGUGAGCUUUAGUACUAAUGCUAUCAAGGUUUCAAAUACUGCAGAAUGGGGCAGUACGUAGUAUGAAUGUUACUGUAGUAUUCUGGUAGGUCUCCUGCAUUGGUACACAGUCCUGCACCAUGUGUUCAUACAUGGUACCAUACCAUUUUGGCAAAAAAUCGGUACAAGAUUGUGUACUUGUACUUGAAAUCUUUGAUGCUAUGUUAUUUUCGCAGUGUACUUUUCGAUAUAGAAUAAAACCUACUAUCUUGUUCCACCGAAUGUGUCACAAUAGCUUGAGACUCAUUUGCAUGUCACCUGCUUCCUCAUUAUGCAAUACUUGCUGAAAAUAUAAAUUACAUGAUACUCUAUCAUAAACAAAAAAAAUAAAAUAUUAUUGAAGCUUAGAUGACCAAGAAACUAUGAAGCAUGGAUACCAAUGCAAGAUGUGUGUGUGUGUGUAUACACGAUACGAUUAGGGCUGGAAAUGGGCUCGAGCCGGCCCAAGGCCCAUUUGGUUGGGUCGGGCUUCGAGCUAGGCCCGAAAGAAUGUAGACCGGGUUUGAGCUUAAAUGUAGAGCCCAUUUGUUUUUCGGGCGGGGCUCGGAUAUGUCAAGGACUAAAUCCGAAUCAAUUUAUUUUUGUAUGUUGUUAUUUAGAAAGAAUAAUGAGAAAAUAAAGGACAAAUUAAAAUGGGUUUAGCUGAGAAUAAUGUAUCAUGUAUCAUUUAUUUUUUGUUAUAGGAGAAAAUUCAAUUUUUAGCUAGCUCAUUUACUUGUGAAGCAAUAUUAUGAAAAUGUUAAAUUUCAAUUAGGUUCGGGCGAGACAUAUUUUUUGCCCAAAUGGGUAAAUUCAGGUUGGCCCAAUCAGGUUCGGAUCGGGUUCAGGCCUGGGCUCAGGUCGGGCUCAGACCUGGAUUAUCCAAAAACUUUCGGGCCUAAGUCCGACCUGGCCCACUUCACUACAGAAAAAGUUGGCUAUCCCGACAUCUAUAUGCCGACGCUAGGUAGAAGUGUCGGUAAUUUUGGCUCCAACGCCAAAAUUUGCCAACGCUUCUAAAUAGCAUUGGCAGGCAUGAUAUUACGACGACGCUAGAUAGCGUUGUGCAAAGCAUGACGCUUACUAGUAUCGUCGGAGGCCAAAUGGGGAAAGAGGGAAGUGAUUAGACGACGCUUAAAAGCGUCGUCGGAGUCCUAAUGAGCCGGGACCAAGGAUGACACAUAUAUAUGUUAUUGUUGGAGGCCAAAUCUUGCCCCCAAGACGACGCUUUAAAAUGCAUCGUAGGAGGCUUAAUUGCCCCUAAGACGACGCUUUAUAAAGCGUCGUCGGAGGCUCAUUCUCACCCCCGGCCCCCACCCCCAUCCACAUAAAUCCUAAUCGUCCCCCCUCCCGAUCCCUAACCCCUCCAGCCGCUCCCCUCAUGACCCCUAACCCCUCCAGUCGCCUCCCUCCUUAUAAAUCUCUAAUCCAAAUCCACCAAAUCGUCCUCCUCUCAGAGCCAUGGCCAUGGUCCCCCCUCCCUCCACCACCAUCCCGCCCUCGCCUCUUCCUUCUCUUCGCCUUCCCUCGUGCGACCGUCUAGGGUUAGGGUUUUCCAUGGUGUUUUCCCUCUUCGAUGCUCCCAUGGCGAGGUCCCCUCCCCCGCCUCUUCCUCUUUUUCUUCCUCGCCUCCGGUCGAUCAGGGACUGCCCCAGGAAGCUGUCCUCAAGGCCAUCUCCGGUGAGCCCCCCAACCCCUUCUCCCCCAACUCUAAUUUUUUGCUGGUUUUGGUUGCAGAAGCGGAGAGGGUUGAAGGAAAUGGAUAGCAUGGACAGUGAUUUGGAAUAGUGAUGGAGAUGAAUAAGAAAAUAAGAAUCCGAAGCCAGGGGUGGAGAGAAAAUAAGAAAAAAGAGGAAGCAAAGAUCGGGCGGUGGAGCGUUUGCGAUGCUUUUGUUUUGAGGUGUUCUCCUCCCAAGAUGCCCUAAUCUUGGCAUCUUGCUGUUUCUCGCUUAUUUUUCUUCCUUAAAUCUUUGGCUUUUUGUUUUCUUUAAUCUUUUUGGUUGUUCUCUCAUGCGGAUGGAGAAGUGGUGUGGCCCUUCCAAUCCUCGAGCUCUUGUACAGAUCUCCAAUCCCCAUUUUAAUGACAAGAAAUUCAUCGAAUGAAAUUAAAAUGUGGCUUCUUUAAUACAUGUGAUAACUGUGGCUUCUUUAAUACACUGUGUGACUGUCUAGGGUUAGGGUUUUUAAAUAAUUUUUUUUACAAAAUAAUUAUAACGACGCUUAUAAGCGUCGGCAGAAAUCAAGAGAGCCGAUGCUUAUAAGUGUCGGCAAAGGCCUGAGCGAGCCUGACGCUUAUAAGCGUUGGCAAAGCUUCGGUUUUUACUGACGCUUUUUGAAAGCGUCAGCAAAAAAAGUUUCCACUUUUAGUUUGCCGACGAUUUUGCGACGCUUUUGAAAGCGUGGGUGCCAAAAUUACCGACGCUUAUAAGCAUCGGUAUAGGCUCUGAAAAGCACCGGAAAAGACUUUUUUUGUAGUGCUUCCAGCCCUAGACACGAUAUGCAUACAUUGGUAUGAUAAAUAUUGAGAGAAAAGAAAAAGAAGGAGGAAAGAAAAUAAAUCCUUCUCCCUCAUUGUUGAAGGUAUUGGGUAAGCAUAUCAGGUGUAUCCAACAGUAUCCAAAGUCUUUUUUUUUUUUAAAAUUCAGAAAAAAGGAUACAUCAAAUAUGUUUGCAAGACCUAUCUUAGGAAGCACUAAGAAGUAUUAGUAUUUUGAUACAUGUCCAAUGCUGACAUGGCAUACAACUAGAAAUGUCCUUGUUUCAUUGUAAGGAAAUAUUUUCUUAUGAUAGUUAGAAGAUACAUGUCAAAUAUGUAUCGAUAAAUCAUGUGCUCAUUUGACACUUUGGGUCUGUUUAGUCCUCUGGAGAUUUUUUGGAAAAGGAAAAAGAAAAUGGAAAAGUUUUCCCAAGAAAAGGAACAGUAGAAUUUCUUGGUUGCCUGGGUUAGCCAAAUCAGGAAAACAUAUUUUUUGUAUUAGUUUAGCUUUCCUACCCCUCAAAACAGCCAGAAUAUUUGAUUUUUGUAAGAACUUCUGUUUUCUAGGGCUUUAUCUAAUGUCCAAAGCAAUUGAACAGAACCUUGGAUACUCAACCAAGUUCUUUGGUUGAGGCAUUUGAAGAUGGGUAGCAGGUUGUACCCUUCCAUUUAUGAAUUCAACCAACCAUAAUGAUGUUUCAGCUUGUUCAAGAACGUAGGUAUUAAAAUAACCGUGUUAAAUAAAAUGUACAUGAUGUUCUCCAAUUUAGUAGUUUUGAUGAGCAAUAUAUACUAAAAGACCUUAACGAAUAUCACCGGUCAUGUUCUCUUGCAUAUGAUAUUUUCAAGUAUACAUGUAAUUCGGUUAAAAUCUUUUUUGUACGUUCCUGUAUCUUUAUUUUUCCUCUUCCUGAGUUCAAUGCUUGGAUAUGUGUGGACCCAAUUCUUGUGUUUGUGUCCAUAAAAUACUGUCUAAUCUGAAUUUGGAGUUAUUGCGAAGGAUAUUUGGUGAAAUUAUAUAUGCUAAUGUGAAGAACAAAACUAUGUCAGGGAGAAAUGCAUGCUUAUGAAAAAAUAUGACGCAUGAAAACAUAACAAUAUGUCAUUUUCGAAGUUUGUUAAAAAAAUGAAGAGGGCCGACCAUUUUUGGCUUUUAUCUGCAUAUAUUUUCUUUAGUGCAAAUGAAAUGCCAAGUGCAACAAGAAAGCCAUUGCUUUGGCACAACAAAAUAAAAUGUUGGGUAGAAUUCUGUUAUGUUUCGGCAAUAAGCUUUCAGUUGUCCCAAAUUGUUGGAAUCUCUUACAGAUUUAAAAGCCUGAGCUUCAAUGUGACACUAGCUUUAGCAUCUGGUGGAACUGAAGCUUUAAGCAUGAAUCCUGUACACUUCCCUGCUGAAGCUACCAAAUUAGCAAGUGAAUAUGCAAUAAGUACUAUCUGAGAUCUGAUGUUGACUUGAUUUCAGUGAACAGAUAACACACAAAGCACGGAAAAGAAUGCCAUUUUUAUGUGAUUUCUUAAAAAUGCUAUUUUUUCUGCUUUUUUGUGUGUGUUUUUUUGGAUAUUUACCAAUAGUUUGUCCUACUCUAGUAUCACAUAUGAGAGUAAAUAUGUAGUUUUUGAUGGUUUUAUCCCAUGAUUUUGCCAUCUUUGAAGCAACAAAAUUUGCAUGGCUUUUGCACUGCAGUUGAGCCAACCUUUAUGACUUUCUGUUUUCACUCUACCCUUUUCUUUUAUAUUGACAUCCUCGUAGAAACUUGUUAUUUGCAUUUGCCUGCCAUUUGAACUCAACUAAACAUUAAUCCCAAAUUAGUUUGGGUUGGCUAUAUGAAUCUUUUUUCCUUCAUUCCGUUUGAUUUAGCCCAUACUUUCUAAAAGAUGUUUAAAUAUCAAGUCAUUCAUUAGUACUUCAUCUCAUAUGAUUUUUGGUCAGCCUCUUUCCCUCUUCAUUUUUUUUGAAUGUAUUAAAUCACCCAUAGGUACUUGUGUGGUUGUGCAUCCCUUGGUAUAUCUAAGCCAUCUAAGUUGUCCUUUAUUGAAUUUGUCCUCAAUUGAUGCUGCCUUUAUCCUUUUACUCCGGACUUCAUUUUUUAUUUUAUCCUUUUUUUGUAUUACCACCAUUUUUAUUUCACCUGCUAUUUUCUCCUACCAUGUUUUUUUUUUGCUGGUCACCCUCUUUAGGGAAGCUAUAGAGCUGCAUUUUCAAUUUGAGUUGCCCAUCUGGAAACACUCAUUUUAACUUUUAUUGUGGGCUGCUGAGGAGUUGGGACUUUUAAUUUUUGUUUUCAAUGAGCCCUUUUUCCAAGAAGUUCAAAUGCUAUGAGUGUUGAACUAUAGUUUGGCCCGAGUUGGAUUCGCCAAUAACGUGCUCGGUGUUUUAGUUCGCAGGCAUGAUACCUUUAGAGAUGACAUUAAAAAAGAAAAUUCCCAUUGCUCAUGGAACUUUUGGUGAUUUUCUUUGUAAAGUGGCUAAAUCGAGCAUUGUAAAUUAGUUUUCCGUUAACAAUAACAAUAGUUAAAUCGGUUUUAGCAUUUUAUAUCAUGGUGGUACUUGAUGUGGCGUUUAGAAAAUGAUGAUUGUAUCUUAGUAGGGUUUGGAAAUCACUUGAUAACUUGUUGGUGCUGAUAUUCAUGAUCCCUGUUCCCCAGAUGCAAUUGUAUGUGUUUAUGGAGGAGUUCUGACUGGCGAAUUACAUUUGAUAUGUUUUGCUGAUCAUGAGCUCUUAGUUAAGAGAAUAAUCAAAGAAUCAAAUGAUUCUGUGUGUACAUACAUUCCCUCACCCCAAACCAAAAAAAAAAAAAAAAUUAGAAAAGGAUCUUUGAGCAUUUCCACAUUUCUUGUAUGUUCAAAGAAUUUUUUUUUUUCCUGAUAAACACGCUUGCUAUUUUCUUUGGAAGAACAUCAAGCCUUAUCUUCCCCUGUUCCCUAUAUGAUCAUGUCAGCAAAAAAAAAAAAAAAAUUCCCCUUACUAUGCUCACCUACCAAUAAAUUUUCAACAGUUUUCUUGCUAAACAUUCUUACAUUCUGAAGUUGAUGAUUAUACUUUUAUGUCCCAAGUCCCAACUAACAAAAGGAGGAUGGUUUCUAUGAUAACGAAACCGAAGGGAGGAAUCUCCGGUUAUAUUAUCAGAUUUCUUUUUUAGAAAAUAAGAAUACAAUAGUAAUAUGCCAAUUUCGAGGUGUAUUUGAGGUCCUUUUUAAUUCUAGUAUCUGUAAUAAAUUUCAUCUUCCCCGGCCCUUUCUUUUUCAGAAGAAAUGGCAGAGCAUCAUCGGUAAACCUAUACACUCAGGUACUCUACCCUUUACAACAAUUUUGAUAUUUGAGAUCGUCUCAUCUCAAGCAACACAUUAGAGAUUAAAUAUACGUGAAAAAAAUCUCAGUAGGGUGCUCACUGGAGAUAAUCCACCAACUUGAACCGCAAAUGAAAGGAAGUGGGGAGGGUGACGGGUUCCGUCAUCAUCGUGGCCAAUGCUGGGUGGCGCCAUCCGCCGGAUGGUUGCAGCGGCGACGGCAUCCUCUCCUCACCCCCAUCUUCAACAUCAGCUUUGUCCUCCUUUGCCGCUCUCUCCUUGGCGAAUGGAAAUGGAGUGGGAGAAAGGAUGAGCGGUGACAGCAAAGGGAUCGGAGCGCAAGAAGAAGGAAUGUUUUCCCAAGGGAAGGACUUGUUGGUGGGAGGCUUGAGCUGGAGGGACGUCGGGGCCUGCUUCUGUAGCCUGCUUGGAGGCUUCCUGGCGUCCUUCAAUCUCGUCGAUUCGUCUCCUCGUGGGAUUUUUCUUUCCAUGAUGGCAGCUUCUAGCUUCUCCGAUAUCUAGAAGGUACAAGUCGUUUGCGAGUUUUAUAACAAAAGGAGGGGGGGUUGGAAUUUGGCUUGGAGGGAGGAAGGUAGUCAGCCUCCUAUUCUUGCGGCUGUGGUCGUGAGAAAAGAACUCCAUAAUGUGAGGCAAAGAGAACGGUUAGUUGUUGAAAUGUAAACGACUUUAAUAACUGUAUUCAAAUCAAAACGGUGGCUAGGCUCCUCCUCACGCCACCCAUGUCCAUAUCCUCAGAUGAUGUGCAGCAUAUCUAAUGCUACGUUCAUGUUAGAUUAAACUGUCCGAUGUUAUAUUCUAUAACUUGCUUUGAUAAGGCAUAAAUUUUGCAUAACCGAUUUUGAUGCCCGCGUAUUGCGGCUGUGUCAAGCUACAACGCAAUGUAGAUGGAAAAUAUCGUUAAAAUAUUGCAACAUAUUGCGAUUUAAUUAUAUGCAACUGGCACAGCAAAAAGUAAUCUUUCUGUUCUUAUGACCAAGAAUCAAAAUUGCCGACAAACAAUAGAACAAAAUGCUUCAGGAUGUUGAUUUUGUGCAUAUGAGAGUUAAGCUCACAAAGAUUUGAGGGUUAACUCAGCAUUCAACCAUCCUGCUGUUAAUGGAACUGGUCCUCUCCUUCCCGUGCUAGAGAACUUCUUCGAGCUUGCAAGGAGCGGCAUGGAAUUGCUCCAAUAAAAUUGCGACACAUCAACUGUUUUCUAUCCAGCUCAGAACUACUCUCAUACGAGGAGGCGCGGGCCCCGGUGGGCAGUUGCCUUCUUGGUAACAGAAAGUGAGUGCGGUUUCCUCGUUCCUUUUAUUUUUCCCCGGUGAGCUUUUAUUUUGGCCCUUUCUUCUCCCGCGUCUCUGCUCCCAUCUGUACCGGUACCCGCCACCACCAUCGCCGCCCUGAUUCGCGACCUUCUCCGGCCGUCAAGAAGAGGAAAACCUUCAGAUCGACCCAAAUACUUCUCCUCUGUGCGCCCAGAUCCAUCUCGCAUCUCAGAACGGGAUAAUGGGUUCGGUACAUGGGUGUGGGUCAGCAAGAUCAAAAGAACUAAAGAUUAGAAAUAUCUGGCAGUUCUAAUUAAGCAGUCCCUUAAACUCCACAUUCAUCCCAUUCUCCUUCUGAAAUCAAUUGACAUGGGGUCCAUAUCUCGCCUCUUUAACCAUUUCAUUGCGAGUACUUUUCUUAACAUAAUCUUUUUGUUUAGUUGACUUCGUGAAUGAGCCCCCUUUGUUGUUUGUGUGCAUUUAUGGCAUGAGGCUUGUUUGAUUGUUAUGUCAGAACGACAUGACAUAUCACUGUUCUAGUAUCAUUCUCAGAGAUGAUAUUACUAUUAGUCAUGCAUUUAAGUAGUUUUUGUACCAUUGAUUUUCCAAAAUGACUAAUUCACCAGUGUAUUUUAUGUUGCAAGGCAUAAGAAUCGCCUGCCAUGAAUUUGCUAUUAAUUAUUAUCUUUUAGUUUAGCCUCCUACAGAAAAUUUCUCUUAGUAUCGUGGAUGUAUUAUACCAUAGAUCGGUGAGAUAAAAUGACAUCUGGUAGAAAUAGAACUGCAUGGACAAAGUGAAAAUGUGCUUUUGGUGUUUAUGUGACGAGAAGGUUCAAUGCUUGAGAAAUUUGUGUAUUAGGAAAGACACUAAUGUGUUAAAUUUAGUGAUACGUGGUAGAUAAAUCACUUAAUCUAUAGUGAGUUAUUUGAAGUGGCCUUCUAGGAGUGGCUUUCUAUGUAAGUGCUUUCAGGAGAAAGGGACGGAAAUCUACAGAGACAAUCCUGUAAGUCACGAGAAAGGAUUUGAAAGACAAAUGUUAGUCUAUUAUAUGAAUGAACAGUGAAGAACGAUUUACAAAACUUAGAUAAUUCAGGUAAAAAGCUUUCUAUGGCUAUAUUUUUCCUUGCUCCCUUCAACAAAGAAAAAACAAGGGUUUGUCUUUCUGGAACGGAACAAUCAAAUUGAUGAAUGAGUUCAUUGGUUACAGUUAUAUGUUUUCCCUUUCUCCCUCUUCUUAUAAGUGAAGCCUUUUUUUGCAAGUAUUAGUCAUAGAAUUUCUUAUUCUAGCAGUAUAGUAUUGCUUUGUCUUGAUAGAAUUAAUUUCGGACAUGAAAACUGGGAACCGAACUAUCAGGUCCUUUAUAUGUUGAAGUGCCUGAAAGAGCCUUUUUUUGGAGAUUGACAUGUGCUUGCUCUUGAAGCUGCAAAACCUUCGAGUUGGCAAUGAGGAGAACAAGUUCAUACUCCUCUGUGCACAUGUUUAGGAGAUUUAUAAACAGCAACAUAUUUUGGAUGCUCAGGUGCUAUUGAAAGCUGUGGCAUUACUCUUUUGCUUGAUUUAAUUAAUUUCCUUUUCUUUCAGGUUCUAUGAGCUUUAGUAUUGCUGUUCUGGCCCUUUCAAUGGGACACUCAGCUUUGAUCCUGUCUAAGCAGCAGUGGAAGCAAUGGGUUUAAAGCACUAAUCUAAAUCUCUGGCUGAGGAGAUACUAGUUUUCUCAGGCUCAAAGUUACUUAAGCUGGCAAGUUCGAUAUGAAAAAAAUAGAUCUAUGUACCAUAUAUCCAACAUAUGAUGAUUAUUUUCUGGGUUAGGCUUUUCCCACUGGUAAAGUGCCUGAACUGCAUAAAUUCAAGCAAUAUUUUUGGAGGUUUCUUAAACAAUCUCAUGGCUUGGGAUUCCAGGUUUCAUUUCCAAUACUAUUUCUAAAAUGUUAGGAUUAUCCCUUGCCAGUUGCCACAUGGCUGAGCAUGAAUCACUGAACCAAUGUUGCUUGUCUCAUUACCCAGGCUUCUCUUGUAAGAGGUCUAUAGUCUCACUGGCCAGAAUUUGUUAUAAAGAUUCUGUAAUCAAUGUCAUGCAAUUGUUUGUUUGUAUCCAGUGCGGUGACUUUGUUUCUGGUGCAGUAUUUAUUUAACACUUUGUGUUAUAUAUGAAAACUUUUCUGGUUGUUAUAUUUAAAUGUAAUUGCUCAUGCUGAGUUUAUUCCACAUAUCAACUAUGAGAAAGGUUUAGUAGCUAGAUCUUGAUGGAAUUGGAAAUUGCUUCAACUAUAAUUAUACUUGCUCAUGCAGCGUUUAUUCCACAUUGUGAUCAUGAGAAGGGAUUGGUAGCUUGAUCUGAUGAUGGAUGGAAAUUGCUUCAACUAUAAUAAAUGGCCAUGGAAGAAUUUGUUUGGCAGAGCCGUAGCAUCUGGGAUGUAUGUUAGUCUGACUCUUUCUGUGGCCAUUGCUUUGGAGCUUUAAUUUCUGCUGCUUUGUGUUAGAGCCCAUGUGGUGCUGCCAACGAUUAGAUGGGCGGUGGGUGAUGGACGUUCCAUUGAUGUACUUGAGGAUAUUUGGGUGACGGAUUUUCCUAUCAGUCGUUUGUCGACGUUGGUGGAUACGGACAGAUUACAGGGGCUUAGGGUCUGCGAUCUGAUUGUUCCGGGUGAGGGAUGGUGGCAUGAGAGUCUGAUUCGGGAGGCGUUUGGAGAGCAGUUAGCGGCGAGAGUUUUGGCCUUACCUGUUCCAUCACUGGAGGGGCCCGACAGAUUGAUAUGGGAGCCGACCGGCAGAUCGAGGGUUCGUGCCAGGGAUCUUCACUCUUGGAUAAGUAGGGUGCCAGACAGACAGAUCGAUGCGGGUUGGAGGCUGAGGUUGCAUCCUCGUGUGGCGCUUUUCCUCUGGAAGGUAUCCUGGGGCUGCCUUCCGACUAGGUGCGUUCUAGUUAGGAGGGAUGUAAGGAUAACCCAGUAUUACGAGGUAUGUCCGGAUCUCGAGGAGUCCAUACAUCAUGUCUUACUCCGAUAUCCUAGGGCGGUACAGAUCUGGAGCUGUUUAUCUGCAGCCCUACCCUCGAGGUGGGAGUCAGUGGUGGAUUUGUUACAAUUCUUGAGGGACUCCACCAGGAGAUCUAGCACAGCCAUGUUUGGGGUUGCAGUUGCCUAUCUGGCCUAUCAUAUAUGGCUGGAUAGGAAUGGACGGCUGUUCGAGGGGAGAGGGUUGCACCCGAGGAUUGUUAUGGAUAGAGCUAUGGCCCAGGCAGCGGAGGUCUGUUUGGUGACUCCAUCGACGUCAUCUGAGUUGGCUAGGGACAUUUGGGGUACCUCUUCUGCUGUUUCAGCGCCUAGGUAUGCUUCUCUUUUCUGGGUACCCCCACCCCCUGGUUUUCUUAAGUUGAAUUUUGAUGGUGGUAUGGCGAUGGAUAGAGCUUCGGGAGGAGUUGGCUUUGUUAUUAGGGACCAGUAUGGCAGAUUGAUUGCAGCUGGUGGUCGGAGCACUCCAGGCUUGACUGUCAUUGGGGCGGAGCUACGAGCUGCUUGGGAGGGUAUCCGGUAUGCGAGAUGUGUGCUGGGUGUUGAUAGACUGUGCAUUAAGGGCGACUCUGCCACGGUGAUUGACUGGAUACGGGGGGCGGAUAGAUAUGGUGACGGCCACCCAUUGAUUCGAGAUACCCGCAGACUAGUUCAGGAGAUGCUAGCUGUCCAGAUUGGUCAUGUGUAUCGUGAGGUAAACAGAGCUGCGGACUGGGUAGCCUCAUAUGUGGCUCGCCACGAUGGGGACGUCAUCUGGACGAGUCUAGCUGGUGUUCCCCAUUUAUUGCUCUGUUUACUUUUCUCUGAUUUAGCAGGAUGUACUUUUUGAUUUAGUGGAAAUGGAUUGCCGUUUUACCAAAAAAAAAAAACUCAUCUGAUUUGAGAGAUCCAUGCUGCGAUUUGUGUUUACCAAAAUGACAGCAGUUUGUGCAGUCGAAAUAACCAUUUUCUAGCUCUUCCAUAUUUUGAAUUCAAUCAGUUCAUAGAUAUGGUUCCUCCCUGCUCUUAGUGGAGAUGAAUGCGGUCAACUGGUGCAGUGAGGAGGGCCGUAGCGCAAGUAGCUCAAUAAGAUGAGAGUUGAUGGGAGAACCCAUGAGACGAACACAUUGAUAAUAGGAAUGCAUGUAUGAACUCGGGCGAAAAAUUCUCACUUUUAAGGAGGACACGGAGCUAGAAACUGCAUGUAUUUACCCUUAAUCUUUGGUAUAUAUGUGAGCACAUUAGCUUGUUUAUAUCAAUUAAAAAGUAUCUCUUCCAUUAUUGUAUCUCGAAAAAAAUGGUGAUCUUUCUUUCUUUUGAUAUGACUGGAUGUACUCGUGUUGGAUCUAUAUGAAUUGCCGUAUUUACUAAAAAAAAAUGAUUUAUAUGUUUUUUUGGGGUAUGCACUCUUGGCCUACAUGGUGGCAGUAAUCUUUAGUGUUUAUCCAAAAAUGAUUGCGCUCACAUUUUUUUGGAGCAUGCAUGCGUACGUAUGCCCACAUACACCACAUACACACAAAAAAAAAGAAAAAAAAGAAAAAAAAGAAGAAAAAGAUGGCAGCCCAGUUCAGAUUAGAAUGAAAAAAUAAAAAGAUCUGAACACACGCAGCAAAAAAAUGGAAUCAUAAUUUGGAGAAAAAGGCUAUUUUACCUGGCUAAGAAACACCUAAAGAAUGGAUUGGUGGUGAAGAUAUUUCCUAGCACCAAAACCACCCCUUUGCCCCAGCCAAGGUCCCACCUGCAGGGACGCCAGUUUGGACGCAACUUAUCGGACCUGCAACAAUAGGCUCCGAAGCUGCCACGCGUCGCCUUGCCUAAUCUCCAGCGUGUGGCCCUCAGGGUUUGGACAGCCGCUCCACAGGAGCCCAAGCGAUGGAAAUUUCAGAACUUCCCCUCACCACACCACUACCUAAAAAAACCAGAGCCAAAUAUUCUUCUUAUAUAUACAAGCCUCCUCCCUUGCUCAACCUCGAGCAAACCAGUGGCAGACCUCUCCCUGGUUGAGAUCAGAGCUCUCGUCCUCCACUUCCGUCCCUCGGCUCCCAGAUGGCCACUGCUGUCUCGACCGUUGGAGCUGUUAACAGAGUACCGGUACUGCCUAUUUAAUUAGACUUAACCUUGCAUGCAGAUGAUUUCUGUCGUUAACUUCUUGUAUUGAGUAGUUUUGGUAUUCUUGGUGCAGCUGAGCUUGCAUGGCUCUGGCUCGGGAGCUUCGGUUCCGAGCUCGGCCUUCUUCGGGAGCAGCUUGAAGAAGGUGAGCUCUAGCUUGAGCCAUGGGAAGGUUUCCACCGGCACUUUCAAGGUCUUGGCUGCCGACCUCGAUGAGUCGAAGCAGACCGAGAAGGACAAAUGGGCUGGGCUUGCAUUCGAUGAAUCCGACGACCAGCAAGAUAUCACCAGAGGGAAGGGUUUGGUUGAUUCCCUCUUCCAAGCUCCCAUGGGUGAUGGCACCCACAUCCCCGUCAUGAGCUCCUAUGAGUACAUCAGCCAGGGUCUUCGCCAGUAAGGGAACUGAAAGAGCUCUAGUUCUAUAUUUUAGAUGCUGCGUGGUUCAUUAAUGUAUAGGAGUGGAAUACUUAUCUGAUCUUGGUAUUAUGGUUUUCCAGGUACAACUUGGACAACACCGUGGAUGGGUUCUACAUAGCCCCAGCUUUCAUGGACAAGCUUGUGGUUCACAUCAGCAAGAACUUCAUGGACCUGCCUGGCAUUAAGGUAUCACCAAACAGCUAAUUUGACAGGUUAAUUUAUGUUUCGGUUGCUGUUGGUUGGACCUAAAUGUUUUUGGUGGUGGCUUUUGGACAGAUUCCCCUCAUCUUGGGUAUCUGGGGUGGCAAGGGUCAAGGGAAAUCUUUCCAAUGCGAACUCGUCUUUGCCAAGAUGGGGAUCAAGUGAGUCUUUCUUCCUGCUUAUGUUCUGCCCCUGUGCAUCUAUUUGCUUUUCUUUCCGCCUCUUUCGAUAAGUGCUUGGCAUUGGUCUUCCAAGAUCCGUCGAUUGCUCUUUUUAUAUGAAUUGGAAGACUGUUUCUGUGAUUCUAGUUUGAGUUACAGGUUGCAAGAAAUUAGAAUUUUAUUUCCUGUUUCUGGACCUUUGUUCUAAUGAUUUCUGCACAGUAGAAAUGUGCGAAGUAUGAUUUCAUAAAUCUAUUAAACUAAUUAUAGAGAUCAAUCAACUAGUCGCUUGGUUUAGUCAUGAUGCUGAAGCUGGGUGGUAACUCUGUUUUGCAUCUAUAGUAUCUUCACUCGAUGAUAGCACCGAACAAAAUCUACAGAUAUUCUCUUUGAGGUAAGUUCAUUAAUCUUUGAUUCCAGUUCCUUGUAACAUCAGAUGUCUUAUUUCUCUAACCUGUGUUGCCUUCUAAUUUUUCUUCAAUUAUCAUACUAUCAUCUGGUCCUAUACCGUCCUAUCCAUUUUAAUUUAAAUUCUAGCACAGAGAAUCUGGGAACCAUCUAGGAUCUCUUUGUAUCAGGCAGAAAAUUUCUACCUGAUCCAGGUUCUGGUUUCUCUAAUUGCCCGACCAGAUGAAGCAUUUACAGUCAGAACUCGAGAUCCCACUAAAUUGUGCCCUUUGAUUCCCAUCUCCUUCGAUCAAGGUCGAAGUUAUCCCUCUGCUUGGUCAUUCAUCAUCUCCUCGAGCAAUCAGAGGACAGGAUGCAGCUAGUUCUUCAAGUUGCUCGAUGACCAACAACAUGAUCUAUUAGACUCUCACAUGAUUCUCUCCUUCAAUUGCUGAAUUAUAAUAUAGAUUCAAGUUCAUGCUUGACAUCACACCACUCAAUGCAUUCCCACAUAUAAGACUUUCACUGGAUAUUGCCUUGCUCUCUGCGCCGUGGAAUUGCUGGUUCCCAGCAUGCAAAAUUCAAACGUGGAGAGGGGGAAAAACCAGGACUCAAAUAACCAACCCACUCAUCGGUUUGGAGAGCAAGUGCAAUGCAUGCAUGCAUGCAUGUAUUGCAUGGUGAAUGAAUUCCUUUCUGAUAUCUUCAUCUGUGGAAACAUCUUCCUCUAUAGAAUCGAGUCAAUGCUCCCUAAUGCUUAUCUUAUGGUGGUUGCUGCUUUCCAUUCACAAUAUUUAUCCGGAUGUUCGCUUCUUCUUCCAUUCAGCCCUGUCAUGAUGAGCGCUGGAGAAUUGGAGAGUGGGAAUGCAGGAGAGCCUGCAAAGUUGAUCAGGCAAAGAUACCGCGAGGCGGCAGACAUCAUUAGAAAGGGGAAGAUGUGCUGCCUCUUCAUCAAUGAUCUUGAUGCAGGAGCAGGAAGGAUGGGUGGCACCACCCAGUAUACUGUCAACAAUCAGAUGGUGAACGCUACCCUUAUGAACAUCGCCGAUAACCCAACCAAUGUGCAGCUCCCUGGCAUGUACAACAAGCAGGAGAAUCCUCGCGUCCCCAUUAUAGUUACUGGGAACGACUUCUCCACCCUGUAUGCCCCUCUCAUUCGUGAUGGUCGUAUGGAAAAAUUCUACUGGGCGCCAACCAGAGAGGACCGUAUCGGCGUUUGCCAGGGUAUAUUCAGGACCGACAACAUUCCCAAGGAAGAUGUCAUCAAGCUUGUCGAUGCCUUCCCAGGCCAGUCCAUUGGUAAGCCCCUUGAAAACCAUCAUAUCUCAAUAAACUACACACUAAUCUUCUUGAACACGUUGGGAGGAAUAACUCUUCUUCACUGCACUGAAAUGGUAGAAUCAUGAUAAGAAUGAUGGAUGGUUGCUCUCUUUGUAUGCAGACUUCUUCGGUGCCCUCCGGGCCAGAGUCUAUGAUGAUGAAGUGAGGAAGUGGAUUUCAGAGAUUGGAAUUGAUAAGGUUGGAAAGAGGCUUGUUAACUCGCGUGAAGGAGCACCAACAUUUGAGCAGCCUACGAUGACCCUGGACACGCUCAUGGAGUACGGUAAGAUGCUGGUGAUGGAGCAGGAUAAUGUGAAGAGGGUGCAGCUGGCGGACAAGUACAUGAGCGAGGCUGCGCUUGGAGAUGCCAAUCAGGAUGCCAUGAAGACUGGAAAUUACUAUGGUUAGCACUCUAAUCCUAGGGGCCUUGAUGGGAGGUUUGCAUCUCGCUUCUAGAUCGACUAGUCCUUCCUGAAGGCUAACAAAGCCUUUUCUUGUUUCCCUAAUAUACACAGGCAGCAAAUAAGAUUGGGCUUUUCGCUUAUCUGUUUGUUACCUGGGUGCAGGCCAAGCAGCCCAACAAGUCCAUGUGCCAGUUCCAGAAGGCUGCACCGAUCCAUCUGCUAAAAAUUACGAUCCUACGGCUAGGAGCGAUGAUGGAAGCUGCGUAUAUACACUUUAAGCUUUGUGAUUGACGGGAAGCCUGGCAAAUAAUCUUUUUUUAUUAUAUAUAUAUAUAAGCAAUGACUUAAUGGAGUAAUCGUAUUAGAACUUUAUGUACCUAUGCUAUACUUGUGUGUACUUUCUUUCAUUUAUAAAUGGGUUUUCUUUUAUGAUUGACUGAUUUGCUGCGACUAGAUAAGAUGGUAACGUGAAGGGCCAUUCAAGCUCUCUAUGAAAUAUGUGGCAAUCGUAGGAUCGGACUUGGAGCGUCGAUGGGAGCUGUUUGGAUGCAUUAUAAGACAUGAGCAUGGUCAUGUGAUCGGUGGAACACAGAUCUCAAAGUAACAAUUGCGCAAUCAGAUGGUGGUCUCGUGCGAAGGAAGGUGGAUCCUUCUUGCGUGCGAAAGCUAUACAAAACACUUGCGUGGUUUGGAGUUUAGUUUUGUCAGGGCCGGCCUAGGCUGAGGCGGUCGCCUAAGGCUCUGGUCCAAAGAAAGUCCACUUUAGAAAGGCCUCAAGGACAAAACAGAAAGAAAAAUGCUCUCUUUAGUGAGUUCGCCUUAGGCCACCCCACUGUAGGAAAGGUCUUAAAUACAAAAUAAAAGAAAAAAUACUCCUUUUAAUGAGUUCGCCUUAGGCUCUCAAAUGCAUUGAACCGCUCCUGAGUCCCGUGAUCACAUAAUCUUGCAAGGCGAAAGCCUCCUACCAUUCUCUCAAGUUCUGCAUGUGCUAGAAUGUUGCCGCCCUUGAUGUCUCUAUUUAUUGACAACUUGCUCCCAUUCCUCGUACAAGUAGAAAGCUUAGAUGCCACAUUCUUGAUUAUUUGAAAGCGUAGAACAGCACACUAUCUGAAAUAGAUCAAUUGUGCUGGCCUACAAUCCAGAGCAAACAACAAACAUAACAAAAAAAUAAAAAUAUAAAUUUGCAGAAAAUUUUGAGAAGAAAAUAAGUGGAAGAAAAAAAAUGAAAGAGAAAAAUAAAUUUAUUCAAAAAAAGCCAAAAUAAAUAGUUUUCUCAUAAAAAAAAGACUCACCCCUCCAAUGCCUUUCUCAACCGCCAAAAAGAAUUUGUUCACUUAGCUCGUUCUCCAUAUUUAUAAAAGCACACUCUCUCUUCCCCGAAAGAAAGAAAUAUAUUGAGUCUUAAAAGUAACACUAGAAAGUAAACUAUUCCAACUAGAAUUGGAAUAGAAAACAAAGAUAUAAAUAGAACAAGCAGUAUACUUCAACAAAAACUUUGAACCUAGUCAAGCAUAGAUUGGGGUCGAUCAAACUGAACAUGUCGAGGCUGCCAUUAAGCAUGAAGUCAUAGUCCAGUCAGAGCUCUCCGUUUGGCGGGCAACAAGACAAGGAGCUGCACCAAGUUCUUGCGACGGAGCCGACCCCCAUGCUUAUAAUUUUUGCAAUAAACUCUCUCUCUCUCUCUCUCAUCCCUUGUCUUCAUUCCCAUGAGACUUUCUUCACUGCGACUUGGUUAUUGCUGAUGGGCAGCAAACCUUUGCAGACCAUGCCAAACCUCCACCUGGGCCAGCCCGGUCCAAUAGUGAAAACCCCUAAGCUCCCAUAGCUCCCUUGACGACUAUGGUGCUCCUGUCCCUUUUGUUGGGCCUCGUCGUGAAUAGCCGGCCGACAAACUUGGUGCCACUCCCGAAGUAUUCCUUGGAAGUAAACGUCCGAAGAAAAAAAGAAAGAAAGAAAGAAAACGAGAACAUCUAUGAAGUCUUUGCCACCCAUUCUCCACAGAGCCAUCUACAAGACUGCAACACUUCCUGAUGAAUAGAUCACCAAUAAUUUCUUCUGUUUUCUUCCACCUCUUCUUCAUCCUCUUUGCAAUGGCGGAGCAGAACAAGGAAUUUCGGCAUCCCCAAGAUGAUAAACCACCCCAUCCAGCAAAGUGAGUUGCUUAGUAUUUCUUACUUAUUUUUACUCUCUUAUGUGUCUCCUUCUAUCAAUCGUAUUCUAAAAUAACAGUUAUCUAUUUGUCAUGCGCUACCAAAUGUAAUGUAGAAGUCUCUCACACAUUACUUUUUUUCGAUGUCCUCUUCCAACUUUUAUAUAUGGGCCGAUCAAAUGGAUAAACCUAGUUCAUUAUUAGCUGAGUUGAAUGUUACACAAUAAUACAUAAAAUACGAACACAAAUAAAAAAAAAUGCAGAACUAAAAUGAACAUACUUUGGCCUGAAUUGAGGUUUUCAAGAAAUAACAACACCUCUCAACAAUAUUGUAAUAAAUGCAAAAAGGAAGGGAAAAGAAAUAGGAGAGAAGGCAAGAAGGAAGAGAAAAUACCUUGAGCCGGGAUAAAGAGGUUUCUGCGAGUGGAGUGAUCGAUCGAACGUAUUGCCGAUUUUACGAAAGCAGGAAACUGGAAUGCGGGAUUGGAGAGGGCCCGUGGAGGUCCAAUUCCGGUUCAAGCCUUGGGUCCGUGUCCAUCGUAAUAAGGGCCCCGAUCUAAUGGAUAGGCCCGGUCCGCAUAACUCAAAAUAUUAUGACACGUCACACCCAUAUGUAUGGGAUGACGAGUGAUGAGAAAUGGACACACCAUCUGCCACCGAAUUAUUUAUUUGUCUUUCUUGUAAGUUUGUCGACCGUGAAAGAGACAAGAAGGAAGAAAGUCAUCAUACGAUUGUAAAACCUGUCCACAUGCAUAAUUAGGUCCGCUUAAUUUUCUAUAGAGACAGCGGUAAAUGAAUGGCUAUGCUGCCUUUGAAGAGGUUGUUUUAAUAUUAAAAAAAAACCUUUGAUUUGUAAGUAAUUGCCUACAUAAUAGGAUAACCCUCCCUCAAAUACUCUUAACCCCAUAACCUUGAUCAAGGUAGGAUAUUAUAUCAUGGACCUAUUUUACCAUAAUUAGUAGUAAGGCUUUCUUUUCCCUUUUAAUUUAUAAGUGGGAUGUUGCUAAUUGAACUUCUUCAUGAAAAUUUACUCCUUUUGUUUUUUCAAUGAUGCCAAUUAAACAUUGCUAUGUAACUUAUCCUUUGGUUCUCUUACUCAAGCUAGCUUUCUCUUUACCUCAAUCCACUAUAGAUUUUAGAGGUCCAUCUUAAUUCUCAUCUCCUCGAGUAAAGUGCCAGGUUUAGACAUACAGAACCAUUCAAUGAAGCAUUUCACCCCAAGUGCUUGUUUGAUUGCAGAAUUGCAUGCCAUUGUCAUAUGCUCUUUUAAUUUCUACCAGAAAGCCGAAUGUGCUCUUGCUUGGGGCAUGUGUCCUGGAGCCUAGUUAGCAUUACUCUUCCGAAGUUCAUAAAACAAGAUGACCAUCCAAUUGGAAUUCUUUUCUUCUAAUAAUAUUGAAAUCGUUUUCACCAGAAAAAAUAAAUAAAUUGAAUUCAUGUCUUAAGUCAAUGAAGUGUAUGAACUUAUCAUACUUUUGAACUAGGGUCAUGUCUAUCAUAAUUUUUCUAUUUUGGUAUUCUCAGUACCUAUCUAUAGGAAUCAUGCCUCUCGUAGAUUACUAAUAUAUAUGUUCUCUAUCCUCAGUAGCUAUCUGUACGUAGUCCAAAUAUAUAAAAAAAAAGACGUCGUCGUCUCUUGAAGUUGAUUGGCCUCCUGUACUUUGCAUCUGAGCUGCUAACUUGUGGCAGCCUGUCUAUAUGAUAAGACCGGAUUUAAUGCGAGUCUUGCCCAAUUUCAGUGCAGCUCUUUGGUUAUUCUUCGCAACAGUCUCAGCACUUAUUGGUGGUUGAGGAGAAUCUAUCCUUAUAGAAUCCAAUCCACCGGAUAACUCCCACCUGAAAAUAGUUGAACAAAAGAUACCCUCCUCCCCAUACCGUAUCUAAGCUUGGAUGCAGCCCUUCUGGCCGAAAGCGAGAAAAACCCAUCCCUUUCUUUCAUUUUUAUUUUGUACCUCCAUAUCCCGCCUGUGUGACACGGUCUAGGGACGUCGAAACAAAAAAAAAAAAAAAUCCUAUCAACUAACUUAGUCCUUAUAUUUAUCUAUCUGGCCAUGAGAUAGAUUAGCAGCUACUCUCUUGGACGUAGAAAUAAUUGUGUCAUUCGUAUACUUGUGGUGGUUUCGAUUAUAUCGUACAACAAUUCUCUCUCUCUCCAAAAAUAUAUUAAAAAAAAAGCUUGUGCAUCGAUAUAUG